Molecule: ribosomal RNA, 492 nt
Filed under: uncultured bacterium
Lineage: Bacteria
Description: partial 16S ribosomal RNA
Rfam family: Bacterial small subunit ribosomal RNA
Source: RNAcentral
AGUGAACGCUGGCGGUAGGCCUAACACAUGCAAGUCGAACGGCAGCACAGUAAGAGCUUGCUCUUACGGGUGGCGAGUGGCGGACGGGUGAGGAAUACAUCGGAAUCUACUUUUUCGUGGGGGAUAACGUAGGGAAACUUACGCUAAUACCGCAUACGACCUACGGGUGAAAGCAGGGGAUCUUCGGACCUUGCGCGAUUGAAUGAGCCGAUGUCGGAUUAGCUAGUUGGCGGGGUAAAGGCCCACCAAGGCGACGAUCCGUAGCUGGUCUGAGGGGAUGAUCAGCCACACUGGAACUGAGACACGGUCCAGACUCCUACGGGAGGCAGCAGUGGGGAAUAUUGGACAAUGGGCGCAAGCCUGAUCCAGCUAUACCGCGUGGGUGAAGAAGGCCUUCGGGUUGUAAAGCCCUUUUGUUGGGAAAGAAAAGCAGCAGGUUAAUACCCCGCUGUUCUGACGGUACCCAAAGAAUAAGCACCGGCUAACUUCGUG